GCCGGGCAUGGUGGCUCAUGCCUGUAAUCCCAGCACUUUGGGAGGCUGAAGCAGGCGGAUCACCUGAGGUCAGGAGUUCAAGACCAGCCUGGCCAACAUGGUGAAACCCUGUCUCUA
Unclassified non-coding RNA from Pongo abelii (Sumatran orangutan), 117 nucleotides. It matches the Rfam family "Metazoan signal recognition particle RNA". Rfam says of the family: The signal recognition particle (SRP) is a universally conserved ribonucleoprotein. It is involved in the co-translational targeting of proteins to membranes. Lineage: Eukaryota; Metazoa; Chordata; Mammalia; Primates; Hominidae. The record is from Ensembl.